This 429-nucleotide ribosomal RNA is filed under the name Pseudomonadota bacterium. RNAcentral describes it as "Proteobacteria bacterium partial 16S ribosomal RNA". It matches the Rfam family "Bacterial small subunit ribosomal RNA", at positions 355 to 776 of the family's 1533-position model. Lineage: Bacteria; Pseudomonadati; Pseudomonadota. The record is from RNAcentral.
UGGGGAAUAUUGGACAAUGGGCGAAAGCCUGAUCCAGCCAUGCCGCGUGUGUGAAGAAGGUCUUCGGAUUGUAAAGCACUUUAAGUUGGUAGGAAGGGCAGUAAGCGAAUACCUUGCUGUUUUGACGUUACCGACAGAAUAAGCACCGGCUAACUCUGUGCCAGCAGCCGCGGUAAUACAGAGGGUGCAAGCGUUAAUCGGAAUUACUGGGCGUAAAGCGCGCGUAGGUGGUUCGUUAAGUUGAAUGUGAAAGCCCCGGGCUCAACCUGGGAACUGCAUCCAAAACUGGCGAGCGAGAGUAGGGCAGGGGGUGGUGGAAUUUCCUGUGUAGCGGUGAAAUGCGUAGAUAUAGGAAGGAAAACCAGUGGCGAAGGCGACCACCUGGGCUCAUACUGACACUGAGGUGCGAAAGCGUGGGGGGCAAACAGG